AUUGACGGGGGCCCGCACAAGCGGUGGAGCAUGUGGUUUAAUUCGAAGCAACGCGAAGAACCGUACCAGGUCUUGACAUCCUUUGACCACUCUAGAGAUAGAGCUUCCCCUUCGGGGGCAAAGUGCCAGGUGGUGCAUGGUUGUCGUCAGCUCGUGUCGUGAGAUGUUGGGUUAAGUCCCGCAACGCGCCCACCCCUUAUUGUUAGUUGCCAUCAUUCAGUUGGGCACUCUAGCAAG
RNAcentral lists this ribosomal RNA (237 nucleotides) under Enterococcus faecium. Its description in RNAcentral is "partial 16S ribosomal RNA". It matches the Rfam family "Bacterial small subunit ribosomal RNA", at positions 909 to 1147 of the family's 1533-position model. Lineage: Bacteria; Bacillati; Bacillota; Bacilli; Lactobacillales; Enterococcaceae. The record is from RNAcentral.